RNAcentral lists this ribosomal RNA (424 nucleotides) under uncultured bacterium. RNAcentral's name for it is "bacterial SSU rRNA". It matches the Rfam family "Bacterial small subunit ribosomal RNA", at positions 31 to 500 of the family's 1533-position model. The record is from RNAcentral.
GUACGCUGGCGGCACGCCUAAUACAUGCAAGUCGAACGAAGUAGUAAUACUUAGUGGCAGACGGGUGAGUAACAUGUGGGUAUCUUCCCUUUGGUGAGGAAUAACACGAGGAAACUUGUGCUAAUACCUCAUAAGUCUUUACGGAGAAAGCUUUAUGCGCCAAUGGAUGAGCCCGCACUUGAUUAGUUUGUUGGUGAGGUAAUGGCUCACCAAGACUUUGAUCAAUAGCUGAUUUGAGAGGAUGAUCAGCCACAUUGGGACUGAGACACGGCCCAAACUCCUACGGGAGGCAGCAGUAGGGAAUCUUGCACAAUGGGGGAAACCCUGAUGCAGCGAUGCCGCGUGAGUGAAGAAGGCCCUUGGGUUGUAAAGCUCUUUCGUCGGGGAAGAAAAUGACUGUACCCGAAUAAGAAGGUCCGGCUAA